Molecule: ribosomal RNA, 359 nt
Filed under: Aspergillus flavus
Lineage: Eukaryota; Fungi; Ascomycota; Eurotiomycetes; Eurotiales; Aspergillaceae
Description: SSU rRNA
Rfam family: Eukaryotic small subunit ribosomal RNA
Source: RNAcentral
AAAGUUGUUGCAGUUAAAAAGCUCGUAGUUGAACCUUGGGUAUGGCUGGCCGGUCCGCCUCACCGCGAGUACUGGUCCGGCUGGACCUUUCCUUGUGGGGAACCUCAUGGCCUUCACUGGCUGUGGGGGGAACCAGGACUUUUACUGUGAAAAAAUUAGAGUGUUCAAAGCAGGCCUUUGCUCGAAUACAUUAGCAUGGAAUAAUAGAAUAGGACGUGCGGUUCUAUUUUGUUGGUUUCUAGGACCGCCGUAAUGAUUAAUAGGGAUAGUCGGGGGCGUCAGUAUUCAGCUGUCAGAGGUGAAAUUCUUGGAUUUGCUGAAGACUAACUACUGCGAAAGCAUUCGCCAAGGAUGUUUUC